This 774-nucleotide ribosomal RNA is filed under the name uncultured Marmoricola sp. Its description in RNAcentral is "bacterial SSU rRNA". It matches the Rfam family "Bacterial small subunit ribosomal RNA", at positions 8 to 796 of the family's 1533-position model. The record is from RNAcentral. Lineage: Bacteria; Bacillati; Actinomycetota; Actinomycetes; Propionibacteriales; Nocardioidaceae.
AGAGUUUGAUCAUGGCUCAGGACGAACGCUGGCGGCGUGCUUAACACAUGCAAGUCGAGCGGUAAGGCUCCUUCGGGAGUACACGAGCGGCGAACGGGUGAGUAACACGUGAGCAAUCUGCCCUUCACAUCGGGAUAACUUCGGGAAACCGAAGCUAAUACCGAAUAUGACCAUCGAUGGCAUCAUCCGAUGGUGGAAAGUUCCGGCGGUGAAGGAUGAGCUCGCGGCCUAUCAGCUUGUUGGUGGGGUAAUGGCCUACCAAGGCGACGACGGGUAGCCGGCCUGAGAGGGUGACCGGCCACACUGGGACUGAGACACGGCCCAGACUCCUACGGGAGGCAGCAGUGGGGAAUAUUGGACAAUGGGCGAAAGCCUGAUCCAGCAACGCCGCGUGAGGGAUGACGGCCUUCGGGUUGUAAACCUCUUUCAGCAGGGACGAAGCGAAAGUGACGGUACCUGCAGAAGAAGCACCGGCCAACUACGUGCCAGCAGCCGCGGUAAUACGUAGGGUGCAAGCGUUGUCCGGAAUCAUUGGGCGUAAAGGGCUCGUAGGCGGUCCAUCACGUCGGGAGUGAAAAGCUGGGGCUCAACCCCAGUCUUGCUUCCGAUACGGGUGGACUAGAGGUAGGCAGGGGAGAAUGGAAUUCCUGGUGUAGCGGUGAAAUGCGCAGAUAUCAGGAGGAACACCGGUGGCGAAGGCGGUUCUCUGGGCCUUACCUGACGCUGAGGAGCGAAAGCGUGGGGAGCAAACAGGAUUAGAUACCCCAGUAGUCC